CCUACGGGGGGCUGCAGUGGGGAAUAUUGGGCAAUGGGCGCAAGCCUGAUCCAGCAACGCCGCGUGAAGGAAGAAGGCCCUCGGGUUGUAAACUUCUUUUAUCAAGGACGAAACAAAUGACGGUACUUGAUGAAUAAGCCACGGCUAACUACGUGCCAGCAGCCGCGGUAAUACGGAGGUGGCAAGCGUUAUCCGGAUUUACUGGGUGUACAGGGCGUGUAGGUGGAAGUGCAAGUUAGAUGGGAAAUCCAUGGGCUCAAACCAUGGCCUGCAGUUGAAACUGUAGGUCUUGAGUGUGGGAGAGGCAGGCGGAAGUCGGGGUGUAGGGGUGAAAGGCGUAGAUAUAAGGAAGAACACCGGUGGCGAAGGCAGCCUGCUGGACAAUAACUGACGCUGAGGCGCGAAAGCGUGGGGAGCAAACAGGAUUAGAUACCCGUGUAGUC
This 443-nucleotide ribosomal RNA is filed under the name uncultured bacterium. RNAcentral's name for it is "partial 16S ribosomal RNA". It matches the Rfam family "Bacterial small subunit ribosomal RNA", at positions 338 to 795 of the family's 1533-position model. The record is from RNAcentral.